RNAcentral lists this unclassified non-coding RNA (400 nucleotides) under soil metagenome. RNAcentral's name for it is "partial contains 5.8S ribosomal RNA, internal transcribed spacer 2, and large subunit ribosomal RNA". The stretch from base 1 to 122 matches the Rfam family "5.8S ribosomal RNA", at positions 35 to 154 of the family's 154-position model. The record is from RNAcentral.
GAUGAAGAACGCAGCGAAAUGCGAUACUUGGUGUGAAUUGCAGAAUCCCGUGAACCAUCGAGUCUUUGAACGCAAGUUGCGCCUCAAGCCAUUAGGUUGAGGGCACGUCUGCCUGGGCGUCACAUAUCGUUGCCUGAUGCCAGUUUCCUCGUGAUGGGUGACUGUGCAGGGCGAAUGAUGGCUUCCCGUGAGCAUUGUUGCCUCAUGGUUGGUUGAAAAUUGAGUCCUUGGUAGGGAGCGCCGUGAUAGAUGGUGGUUGAGUGACGAACGAGACCCAAUCAUGUGAGACCCCUACCGAAUUCUGCCUUCAUGACCCACAUGCGUCUUUGGAACGCUCAUGACGAGACCUCAGGUCAGGCGGGGCUACCCGCUGAGUUUAAGCAUAUCAAUAAGCGGAGGA